RNA transcript from Oncorhynchus kisutch (coho salmon), 1796 nucleotides. It is a transcript of the gene named non-structural maintenance of chromosomes element 4 homolog A, with no coding region annotated. The transcript has 8 exons. The record is from RefSeq and is a predicted model, not a curated record. NCBI's taxonomy places the organism in Eukaryota, Metazoa, Chordata, Actinopteri, Salmoniformes, Salmonidae.
AGUGCUGUCUUGUCUCCUUCUGCACUGAAGUGAAGGGAAAAACUCCCGAACAAGUAGCAUAUAUUCCCAACGCAUUAUUCACAUCAGUACAGAUGAAGGUGCAGGAGAGGAAACUAGUUUAUACAAAUCACCCCGCGACGGUCACAAGUUCAGGGAGUCGACGUUGGUUUUCUAUUUGUUCUGCAGUUGGUGUUUUGUACCGCCAGGCGUUGUUUUGAGAAGGGCGGUUACGACAGAAACCGGGCGACGUGGAAGCGUGGAGAAUGUCAUGUACGCGCGUCUCGCUUGUGAUCAACAGGGCUUCUUCCAAUAGUUUUUAAAAAACGGAUUUUCACUACAGAUAAAGGUGUAUUUUAAAUAGUAGAGAGGAUAAAAAAACAACUGACAUUCUUAAUAUCGUGCAUAAAUUAAGAUCUAUAGCCAUGGAUGAGGCAAUAGCGAUUAUUUUAAUAUCCGUUGCGAUGUUUUUGGGAUGUUUUCUAUUAGGUUUGAUUCCACUUCUGAUGAAACUUUCUGAGAAGAGGCUGCAGUUUGUUAGUGUAUUCGGGGCAGGCCUGCUCUGUGGUACAGCUCUAGCUAUCGUCCUCCCAGAAGGGGUGGAACUACUGGAAGAGUCAUGGAGAGUCUCCUCCUGCUCUGUCGCCCCAGCAGCAGCCAAUCAGAAUGCCAGUGAUGUUGGGGUCGGGCAGCAGCUCCAGGAGGAGGACCCCCCCUCUAAAGGUCUCCCAGCACGGUUCUUCAUCGGGGUCUCCCUGGUCGUAGGGUUCAUCCUCAUGUUCCUGGUGGACCAGAUCAGUAGCUACUGCUCCGGACACGAUCCACGGACUGGGAUGUCCAACAGGACCAGUAUCACAGCUACACUGGGACUGGUUAUCCAUGCUGCUGCUGACGGUGUAGCGUUAGGUACAGCCGUGGCUUCCUCCCAGGUCACAGUUCAAGUCGUGGUGUUCCUGGCUGUGAUUCUGCACAAGGCUCCUACAGCGUUUGGUCUGGUCACCUUUCUGAUGCAGGCAGGUGUAGAGAAGAAGCAGAUUCAGAAGCAUCUCUUGGUGUUCUCUGCUGCAGCACCUGUUCUCUCCAUUGGUACAUACUUUAUCCUGAACGCGAGUGGUGGUUCGCCCCAGAACCGUCUGAGUGCUGUGUGUUUCUCCCUCCUACUGCAGAGUGGUGGUUCGCCCCAGAACCGUCUGAGUGCUACAGGUGUUGGGAUGCUCUUCUCCGCUGGGACGUUCCUCUACGUAGCUACGGUCCAUGUACUACCAGAGAUCAGCUCCAGGGGGCAGCAGAGCUCUCCCCACCUCCACGGGACUGGGAGCGGGCAGCUGGAGGUCCUGGAGAGCCUCACGUUGAUACUAGGAGCAGGACUACCUGUGUUACUGGCCCUGGGACUACGUGAUGACUAGUCUUGUGAAUCGACGCUAUCCUACCAAAUCUAGUUCAUAACUCAGCUAUUGAUAAUGAACAUUGAGAAUGAAUGUGAAGGAAGCCUGGAAAUCAAGUCUAUAACUAAGACCGACUAGUUAACGCAAAGAAGACAACCCACAACAUGUUACCAAACAUUCAUUUACACUGGAGUACACCUCAACUCUUACAUAGCUAGAGAUCAAUUGGGGGUGUUUCUGUGUGUGAUGCAGUACGUGUCAGUGUCUUUCUCUGAGAGGUCAUAAGGACAUGGGCUUUGAGCAAGCCAACAAAGCUUUGAAGAGGGGUGAUAGCCAAAACCUAAAAGAAUAGAGGAGAGAGGAAUACCAAACAACUGCAUACAAUACCAAUACCCCCAUCCAAGAUGAGGCGAG